Molecule: long non-coding RNA, 717 nt
Filed under: Ananas comosus (pineapple)
Lineage: Eukaryota; Viridiplantae; Streptophyta; Magnoliopsida; Poales; Bromeliaceae
Description: long non-coding RNA (ACOM_LNC012828)
Source: RNAcentral
AAUAGGUAGCAAGCUACCUGCUUCAUUCAGGCUGUUAUCACAGUUGUUUCUGAUCCUUUAAUAUUCUAUAUAUACGUAGAUUCUGUUGAAAAUUUAGUACUCGCUAUAAUAGCAAAUUUUGAGAAUUCAUAAUUAGUUCUGAAUUUGACUGUUGUUGAAAUGUCGAGUUAAAUUUUUUAUUACAAAUUUGUCUUCUCGGCAAAAACUGACACAAAUAGAAAGAUUUGGAUAAAAUAAAAUUCAUUAAACAAGAGAAAAAUUAUACCCGACUCUUUUUCUAAAUAGAGUAGCUUUAAACUGUGCCCUUUUUUUGAAUCUCUCUUAUGUUUUUCUCGUUUUCUAUAAACUCAGAACAUCUCUCUCAUCCCGUGCAACCGUGUACAAGAUAUAUUAAUGACCUACGACUACGAAAGCUGUACUCGUCUUCUUGCACUCAUGCACCGGGUGCAAAUCAUAACCAUCUUGACACACCAUGUAGGUAUGCCUAAGCUGUAGCACCACUAAAAUAAUAUCAUAUAUAUUAUACUUAUAGCUUAUAAUAAAAACUAUCCAAAUUCUAAUCUAAUUAGAUUUAUACCCUCUAAUUAAUAUCUAAGUUCAAAUUAAUUUAUCUCCAAUCAAUUUAAAUAUUUAUUCUAAUCCAACUAGAAAUCAACCAUAUAUAAAUCUAACCAAAUCCUAACAUAUUCAAAUCAUAAUCUACAAAAUUGUAAGUAA